AUUGAACGCUGGCGGCAUGCCUUACACAUGCAAGUCGAACGGAUUUUGGGGCUUGCUCCAAAGUUAGUGGCGAACGGGUGAGUAAAGCAUCGGAACGUACCAGUCGUGGGGGAUAACGUAGCGAAAGUUACGCUAAUACCGCAUACGAUCUGAGGAUGAAAGCGGGGGACCUUCGGGCCUCGCGCGAUUGGAGCGGCCGAGGUCGGAUUAGCUAGUUGGUGAGGUAAAGGCUCACCAAGGCGACGAUCCGUAGCUGGUCUGAGAGGACGACCAGCCACACUGGGACUGAGACACGGCCCAGACUCCUACGGGAGGCAGCAGUGGGGAAUUUUGGACAAUGGGCGAAAGCCUGAUCCAGCCAUGCCGCGUGAGUGAAGAAGGCCUUCGGGUUGUAAAGCUCUUUCAGACGGAAAGAAAUCUCUCGGGUGAAUAUCCCGGGAGGAUGACGGUACCGUAAGAAGAAGCACCGGCUAACUACGUGCCAGCAGCCGCGGUAA
This 497-nucleotide ribosomal RNA is filed under the name uncultured bacterium. RNAcentral's name for it is "partial 16S ribosomal RNA". It matches the Rfam family "Bacterial small subunit ribosomal RNA", at positions 30 to 523 of the family's 1533-position model. The record is from RNAcentral.